GAAGUACUCACUUCACAGUUACCAAGCUGCAUGAACUGAAUGCAUGAAUUGCAUUGGAAAACAAUAUGUUAAAAGGGAAUUGCUUUAGAAAGGAAGAAACAUGGAAAUUUCAGAUAAUAUUGCUCUGCGGAGAUUCCUAUAGCCAUUUUUUAGUGAAGAGAAUAAAAGAUUCAUCAUGGAAUGACCUAUGGCAUUUUAUAUUUACAGUAUAGUCUUCAACAUGUGCAGAUGCUGGACCAAGGGGGUCUCAGUGCCCUGAGCUGGAGGACCAUGGCUGCGAGAAUUAUCAACUCCCAGCCAACCCUGAAAUUGUGCAGGAUUGGCUGCUUCAGCUGGAUCCCUACAA
Molecule: long non-coding RNA, 346 nt
Organism: Corapipo altera (White-ruffed manakin)
Lineage: Eukaryota; Metazoa; Chordata; Aves; Passeriformes; Pipridae
Exons: 4
Source: RefSeq, a predicted model, not a curated record